UACGUAGGGUGCAAGCGUUAAUCGGAAUUACUGGGCGUAAAGCGUGCGCAGGCGGCUAUGCAAGACAGAUGUGAAAUCCCCGGGCUCAACCUGGGAACUGCAUUUGUGACUGCAUGGCUAGAGUGCGGCAGAGGGGGAUGGAAUUCCGCGUGUAGCAGUGAAAUGCGUAGAUGUGCGGAGGAACACCGAUGGCGAAGGCAAUCCCCUGGGCCUGCACUGACGCUCAUGCACGAAAGCGUGGGGAGCAAACAGG
This 253-nucleotide ribosomal RNA is filed under the name uncultured bacterium. RNAcentral describes it as "partial 16S ribosomal RNA". It matches the Rfam family "Bacterial small subunit ribosomal RNA", at positions 524 to 776 of the family's 1533-position model. The record is from RNAcentral.